UCUACCAUCUAUUUGAUUUAUGUUAUUCCCAAAACAUCCACUAGAUGUCAGAGUGUCAAUCAACAGCACUUGUCACAAUCCUUCUUCUAACAUGAUGUCAGAAACAAACAUAGACAGUAAAAGAAAAGAAAUCAACCCUUUCCAUGUCCAUGCUAGCCCUUCUUGGUGAAAUUUUGCAAGAUGGAUUUCAACAGUACAAGAACUUCAGGCCCAUGUACCAGAAAACCCCCAAGGACUCUAAUGCUGAUCUCAGUUAUCUUGAUGACCUCAAACCUGUCUUGGAGUAACCCCAGCCCUGAACAUUUUUAAUUUCUCCAUCAUCUAUCACACCUGAUUCAACUCAGAUUCACAAUUCAGACCCUCCCACCUCUAAUAAACAUGGAGAUGUUAGUCCCGUCCGAGAAUUGGUACAUGAAAAUUGCAGAUGUCAGGUGGUAAGAAUCGAAACUCAAACGUAG
Molecule: long non-coding RNA, 458 nt
Organism: Carassius gibelio (silver crucian carp)
Lineage: Eukaryota; Metazoa; Chordata; Actinopteri; Cypriniformes; Cyprinidae
Exons: 2
Source: RefSeq, a predicted model, not a curated record